GGCCCCCGAGGGCAGGGCUGGUCUGCGGGUGUGCUGCGGCCCCCUCGUUUAUGGGGCACACCUUUGAUGCUCACUAAGCCCUUGUUCCGUGGGUGAAUGGAGGAAGGUUGUAAGACCGGCCCAAAAGCACGAAUCUUAACUUGAUGGGAAGGCUCAUCUCGCAAAGACCAGGAGGCACAGAGAUCGAUGCACAGCCUCCUGUAACGCGGAGGUGCUGGCCCUGUGACCGAGGCCAGCCCAUGGGAUGGAGCCGCCCUGGACUCUGACAUGGGAGCCGGUGAUGGGGAGAAUCUGGGCUGGCGGAGAAGAUGUUUUGUUGGGCAGUGGCAGCAGCAGCAGCAAGGACAUGGACUUUCCAGGGCCAGCACUGGCAGCGGCGUAAGCUGUGGCAUCCAGCAUCAAGUAGCUGUGGCAUGGUGGCCAUGUCAUUACCAACUGGUCCUGUAGCCCUGGCUUUACUCCAAAUGUUCCCUAUUUUGGCCCAGCUCCUAGGCUCGAUCUGCAGUGCUCCUGAUGGUUGUAUGAGCUGCCAAAUAUCAUUUCAAUAAAUUCUAUUUACAUCA
Molecule: long non-coding RNA, 563 nt
Organism: Galeopterus variegatus (Sunda flying lemur)
Lineage: Eukaryota; Metazoa; Chordata; Mammalia; Dermoptera; Cynocephalidae
Exons: 2
Source: RefSeq, a predicted model, not a curated record